Molecule: ribosomal RNA, 1407 nt
Filed under: Citrus maxima (pomelo)
Lineage: Eukaryota; Viridiplantae; Streptophyta; Magnoliopsida; Sapindales; Rutaceae
Description: bacterial SSU rRNA
Rfam family: Bacterial small subunit ribosomal RNA
Source: RNAcentral
UAAUGCUUAGGAAUCUGCCUAUUAGUGGGGGACAACAUUCCGAAAGGAAUGCUAAUACCGCAUACGCCCUACGGGGGAAAGCAGGGGAUCUUCGGACCUUGCGCUAAUAGAUGAGCCUAAGUCGGAUUAGCUAGUUGGUGGGGUAAAGGCCUACCAAGGCGACGAUCUGUAGCGGGUCUGAGAGGAUGAUCCGCCACACUGGGACUGAGACACGGCCCAGACUCCUACGGGAGGCAGCAGUGGGGAAUAUUGGACAAUGGGCGAAGCCUGAUCCAGCCAUGCCGCGUGUGUGAAGAAGGCCUUUUGGUUGUAAGCACUUUAAGCGAGGAGGAGGCUACUUUAGUUAAUACCUAGGAUAGUGGACGUUACUCGCAGAAUAAGCACCGGCUAACUCUGUGCCAGCAGCCGCGGUAAUACAGAGGGUGCGAGCGUUAAUCGGAUUUACUGGGCGUAAAGCGCGCGUAGGCGGCUUUUUAAGUCGGAUGUGAAAUCCCGAGCUUAACUUAGGAAUUGCAUUCGAUACUGGGAAGCUAGAGUGUAUGGGAGAGGAUGGUAGAAUUCCAGGUGUAGCGGUGAAAUGCGUAGAGAUCUGGAGGAAUACCGAUGGCGAAGGCAGCCAUCUGGCCUAACACUGACGCUGAGGUACGAAAGCAUGGGAGCAAACAGGAUUAGAUACCCUGGUAGUCCAUGCCGUAAACGAUGUCUACUAGCCGUUGGGGCCUUUGAGGCUUUAGUGGCGCAGCUAACGCGAUAAGUAGACCGCCUGGGGAGUACGGUCGCAAGACUAAAACUCAAAUGAAUUGACGGGGGCCCGCACAAGCGGUGGAGCAUGUGGUUUAAUUCGAUGCAACGCGAAGAACCUUACCUGGCCUUGACAUAGUAAGAACUUUCCAGAGAUGGAUUGGUGCCUUCGGGAACUUACAUACAGGUGCUGCAUGGCUCGUCAGCUCGUGUCGUGAGAUGUUGGGUUAAGUCCCGCAACGAGCGCAACCCUUUUCCUUAUUUGCCAGCGGGUUAAUGUCGGGAACUUUAAGGAUACUGCCAGUGACAAACUGGAGGAAGGCGGGGACGACGUCAAGUCAUCAUGGCCCUUACGGCCAGGGCUACACACGUGCUACAAUGGUCGGUACAAAGGGUUGCUACCUAGCGAUAGGAUGCUAAUCUCAAAAAGCCGAUCGUAGUCCGGAUGGAGUCUGCAACUCGACUCCAUGAAGUCGGAAUCGCUAGUAAUCGCGGAUCAGAAUGCCGCGGUGAAUACGUUCCCGGGCCUUGUACACACCGCCCGUCACACCAUGGGUUUGUUGCACCAGAAGUAGGUAGUCUAACCGCAAGGAGGACGCUUACCACGGUGUGGCCGAUGACUGGGGUGAAGUCGUAACAAGGUAGCCGUAGGGGAACCUGCGGCUG